CUGGUGUCUUGUGUUGAUUGGAUGCAUCAGUCUUGUUGUAUCUAUCUAUCAAAUUCUUGUCAUUAGCUAUAACAUCAUAUGAGCAGUCACCUCAUAUUGUGUGUCCUGGAGAUAAAGUAGUGUUUACUUGUGUGGCUGUUGGUCAUGGAGCUAGAUGGAGAUUAAAUGGAAAUGAACCAAGUGUCCUUUUUGCAGGGACUUCACCUUCUGAAACACUUGGAAGUUUUUUACUUGAAGUAGCACAGUAUAAUAUUGUUACAGGAGAGAUAGUUAGCACAGCAACUAAUGAGACUUCUCCAUUAAUACUAAAUGAAACUAGCAUUGGUUGUUCUGGAGAUGAAAGAGGAACAUAUCAGGAGAAAUACAUUAAUUUUGCAGGACUACCUCCAGCAAUUAGUAACAUAAAUAUUGGAGCAAAUCAUAAUAAUUCAUUAUUUAUCAAUUGGACAUCUUCAGGAUUGUGUGUAGAUCAUUAUACUGUUGCUAAAAUUAGUAACAAUACUGAUGAAACCAAUUUUACUACUAACAACACUAAUAUAACAAUUACUGAUCUUAUUAUUGGUACUAAUUAUUCAUUUAUUAUUAUUCCUAUUGAUACUAUUGGAAGAGAAGGACCUCCUUC
Amphimedon queenslandica is the source of this 622-nucleotide long non-coding RNA. RefSeq lists it as uncharacterized. Lineage: Eukaryota; Metazoa; Porifera; Demospongiae; Haplosclerida; Niphatidae. The record is from RefSeq and is a predicted model, not a curated record. The transcript has 3 exons.